Molecule: long non-coding RNA, 699 nt
Organism: Gopherus flavomarginatus (Mexican gopher tortoise)
Lineage: Eukaryota; Metazoa; Chordata; Testudines; Testudinidae
Exons: 4
Source: RefSeq, a predicted model, not a curated record
CUAAGGGCGGUAGGGAAAGGAGAUGUAGCCCUUGAGAGGUGCCAGAAUGAUGGCCACUGGUGAUAAGAGGGAAGGUGAUGGCGAUGAGGAAGAUAAUGGCUAAUAUUUCAGGUUGUUCUACAGGAGAUGGUGUGUUUAUUACUACGCUGUAAAAUUUGGCAGAGAAACUGUUAUCCCUGGAAUGAGGUGUAAACUGAAAAAUCCUGCAUUUAUGGUGAAAAAAUGGGCACAGUAUGCCUGAAAUUACCUGCAUAGCUGGGAGAGAGGAAUAAGGCCGAACACCUCUGCACUCUGCCUGUUCUCAGCUACUUGUUGGCCAUUACAAUGUGGUGUAAAUUGUUCUAGUUUACACAGGGACCAGAAUGAUUGCCAGCCAGCUCCAAAACCUGAGAAGCCACAAAGGAAAUCUCCAGAAUCCAUGGAAUGCAGAACUUGCUCCCUACCCUUAAACUGCACUGAGAUUAACUCAGAAUUUUGAGUUUGUCUGUAACUUCUUAAAAACCCUUCAGUAAAUGUACUUGGUCCAAAUAUAGCACAUCUGACAAAGUAGAAAGCUGAUUCUGCGAACCAUUAUUUGUAUGAGUAAGGGUAUUCAGGAUCAGGCCCCAAAAAUGAAAAGAAAAUAAAAGAAAAUUUGGAGAUUAGUAUCACUACAGGGACAGGUUCUGGAUUGUUUGGGUGUUUUAACUGUGCAUUUCC